GUUGCCAUCAGGUUAAGCUGGGGACUCUAAAGGAACUGCCUACGCAAGUAGUGAGGAAGCGGGGAUGACGUCAAAUCAGCACGGCCCUUACGUCCAGGGCUACACACGUGCUACAAUGGCCGAUACAGAGGGCAGCUACCUGGUGACAGGAUGCAAAUCUCCAAAGUCGGUCUCAGUUCGGAUCGGAGUCUGCAACCCGACUCCGUGAAGUUGGAUUCGCUAGUAAUCGCGCAUCAGCCAUGGCGCGGUGAAUACGUUCCCGGGCCUU
Molecule: ribosomal RNA, 268 nt
Filed under: uncultured Sphingobacteriales bacterium
Lineage: Bacteria; Pseudomonadati; Bacteroidota; Sphingobacteriia; Sphingobacteriales
Description: partial 16S ribosomal RNA
Rfam family: Bacterial small subunit ribosomal RNA
Source: RNAcentral